This 441-nucleotide ribosomal RNA is filed under the name uncultured bacterium. RNAcentral's name for it is "partial 16S ribosomal RNA". It matches the Rfam family "Bacterial small subunit ribosomal RNA", at positions 338 to 795 of the family's 1533-position model. The record is from RNAcentral.
CCUACGGGAGGCAGCAGUGGGGGAUAUUGCACAAUGGUGGGAACCCUGAUGCAGCGACGCCGCGUGGGUGAAGGAGCGUUUCGGCGCGUAAAGCCCUAUCGGCAGGGAAGAAGGAUGACGGUACCUGACUAAGAAGCCCCGGCUAACUACGUGCCAGCAGCCGCGGUAAUACGUAGGGGGCAAGCGUUAUCCGGAUUUACUGGGUGUAUAGGGGGCGCAGACGGCAGCGCAAGCCAGGAGUGAAAGCCCGGGGGCCAACCCCGGGACUGCUCUUGAAACGGCGCGGCUGGAGUGCAGGAGGGGCAGGCGGAAUUCCUGGUGUAGCGGUGAAAGGCGUAGAUAUCAGGAGGAACACCGGUGGCGAAGGCGGCCUGCUGGACUGUGACUGACGUUGAGGCCCGAAAGCGUGGGGAGCAAACAGGAUUAGAUACCCCGGUAGUC